This 484-nucleotide ribosomal RNA is filed under the name uncultured bacterium. RNAcentral describes it as "partial 16S ribosomal RNA". It matches the Rfam family "Bacterial small subunit ribosomal RNA", at positions 29 to 507 of the family's 1533-position model. The record is from RNAcentral.
AGUGAACGCUGGCGGCAGGCCUAACACAUGCAAGUCGAACGGCAGAACAGUGCUUGCUUGUGGUUUCAGCGGGGGACGGGCGGGCGGUUCCUGAGAAUAUCCCUAUCUAUUUUUUCUUACGGCCUAACGUAGGCGCUAUUACGCCAUUCGCGCAGACGACGUACGGGUGGGAGCAUCGGACCUUAGGCUCUCACGUGAGUCUAUGUGGGAUUAGCUAGUUGGUGGGUUAAAGGCGUACCAAGGCGACGAUCCGUAGCUGGUCUGAGAGGAUGAUCAGUCACACUGGAACUGAGACACGGUCCAGACUCCUACGGGAGGCAGCAGUGGGGAAUAUUGGACAAAGGGCGCAAGCCUGAUCCAGCCAUGCCGCGUGGGUGAAGAAGGUCUUCGGAUUGUAAAGCCCUUUUGUUUGGGAAGAAAAGCAGUAGGUUAAUACCUCGCUGUUUUGACGUUACCAAAAGAAUAAGCACCGGCUAACUUCGUG